This 217-nucleotide long non-coding RNA is filed under the name Phoenix dactylifera (date palm). Its description in RNAcentral is "long non-coding RNA (PDAC_LNC008272)". The record is from RNAcentral. Lineage: Eukaryota; Viridiplantae; Streptophyta; Magnoliopsida; Arecales; Arecaceae.
UUUCCCAGCCGUCCAUGUAUCAUGCCAUCAUCCGUUCCUCCGACCCAGUGAUCUCCACGUGCAGUCCACAAACCCCUCAGCCAUUGUCUUAGCCCGGAUGACGGCCUCUCCUAUGAUCGCGUCCAGCCGCCCGUGAUGCGGACGCUAGUCCGUGAUCCCAGCCUCCACCGUGGCCAUGAUCGGCGUCCUCCUAGCAUCCCAGCUCUUCCGCACAUCA